This 459-nucleotide ribosomal RNA is filed under the name uncultured Anoxybacillus sp. RNAcentral's name for it is "bacterial SSU rRNA". It matches the Rfam family "Bacterial small subunit ribosomal RNA", at positions 923 to 1382 of the family's 1533-position model. The record is from RNAcentral. Lineage: Bacteria; Bacillati; Bacillota; Bacilli; Caryophanales; Anoxybacillaceae.
GCACAAGCGGUGGAGCAUGUGGUUUAAUUCGAAGCAACGCGAAGAACCUUACCAGGUCUUGACAUCCCCUGACAACCCGAGAGAUCGGGCGUUCCCCUUCGGGGGACAGGGUGACAGGUGGUGCAUGGUUGUCGUCAGCUCGUGUCGUGAGAUGUUGGGUUAAGUCCCGCAACGAGCGCAACCCUCGACCUUAGUUGCCAGCAUUCAGUUGGGCACUCUAAGGUGACUGCCGGCUAAAAGUCGGAGGAAGGUGGGGAUGACGUCAAAUCAUCAUGCCCCUUAUGACCUGGGCUACACACGUGCUACAAUGGGCGGUACAAAGGGUCGCGAACCCGCGAGGGGGAGCCAAUCCCAAAAGCCGGUCGUAGUCCGGAUCGCAGUCUGCAACUCGACUGCGUGAAGUCGGAAUCGCUAGUAAUCGCGGAUCAGCAUGUCGCGGUGAAUACGUUCCCGGGUCUU